This 425-nucleotide ribosomal RNA is filed under the name uncultured bacterium. RNAcentral describes it as "bacterial SSU rRNA". It matches the Rfam family "Bacterial small subunit ribosomal RNA", at positions 354 to 796 of the family's 1533-position model. The record is from RNAcentral.
GUGGGGAAUAUUGGACAAUGGGCGCAAGCCUGAUCCAGCCAUGCCGCGUGGAUGAUGAAGGCCUUAGGGUUGUAAAGUCCUUUUAACGGGGAAGAUAAUGACGGUACCCGUAGAAUAAGCCCCGGCUAACUUCGUGCCAGCAGCCGCGGUAAUACGAAGGGGGCUAGCGUUGCUCGGAAUCACUGGGCGUAAAGCGCACGUAGGCGGCUUUCUAAGUCAGGGGUGAAAUCCUGGAGCUCAACUCCAGAACUGCCUUUGAUACUGGAGAGCUUGAGUCCGGGAGAGGUGAGUGGAACUGCGAGUGUAGAGGUGAAAUUCGUAGAUAUUCGCAAGAACACCAGUGGCGAAGGCGGCUCACUGGCCCGGUACUGACGCUGAGGUGCGAAAGCGUGGGGAGCAAACAGGAUUAGAUACCCCUGUAGUCC